Molecule: unclassified non-coding RNA, 349 nt
Filed under: soil metagenome
Description: partial contains 5.8S ribosomal RNA, internal transcribed spacer 2, and large subunit ribosomal RNA
Rfam family: 5.8S ribosomal RNA (bases 1-119)
Source: RNAcentral
GAUGAAGAACGCAGCGAAAUGCGAUAAGUAAUGCGAAUUGCAGAAUCCGUGAGUCAUCGAAUCUUUGAACGCACAUUGCGCCCUAUGGUAUUCCGGAGGGCAUGCCUGUUCGAGCGUCAUUAUCACCCCUCAAGCCCGGCUUGUUGUUGGAUGCAGCGCUUAUCCCGCUCCUCCCAAAGAUAAUGACGGCGUCUGCGACGACUCCUGUACACUGAGCUUUCGGGCACGUACACGGCUAGAAGUCCAGACCCGGUCGCCGUCCCCCCCGCGGGGACACCCAUUACCACAAGGUUGACCUCGGAUCAGGUAGGAAUACCCGCUGAACUUAAGCAUAUCAAUAAGCGGAGGA